RNAcentral lists this transfer RNA (84 nucleotides) under Ktedonobacterales bacterium. Its description in RNAcentral is "tRNA-Ser". It matches the Rfam family "tRNA". Rfam says of the family: Transfer RNA (tRNA) molecules are approximately 80 nucleotides in length. Their secondary structure includes four short double-helical elements and three loops (D, anti-codon, and T loops). Further hydrogen bonds mediate the characteristic L-shaped molecular structure. tRNAs have two regions of fundamental functional importance: the anti-codon, which is responsible for specific mRNA codon recognition, and the 3' end, to which the tRNAs corresponding amino acid is attached (by aminoacyl-tRNA synthetases). tRNAs cope with the degeneracy of the genetic code in two manners: having more than one tRNA (with a specific anti-codon) for a particular amino acid; and 'wobble' base-pairing, i.e. permitting non-standard base-pairing at the 3rd anti-codon position. Lineage: Bacteria; Bacillati; Chloroflexota; Ktedonobacteria; Ktedonobacterales. The record is from RNAcentral.
GGAGGAGUCCCAUAGUGGCCUAGUGGGCACGACUGGAAAUCGUGUGUGUGAAUAGCACCGUGGGUUCGAAUCCCACCUCCUCCG